Molecule: ribosomal RNA, 301 nt
Filed under: uncultured bacterium
Lineage: Bacteria
Description: partial 16S ribosomal RNA
Rfam family: Bacterial small subunit ribosomal RNA
Source: RNAcentral
CAGCCGCCGCGGUAAUACGGAGGGUGCAAGCGUUAAUCGGAAUUACUGGGCGUAAAGCGUGCGUAGGCGGUUCGUUAAGUCUGUUGUGAAAGCCCCGGGCUCAACCUGGGAAUGGCAAUGGACACUGGCGAGCUAGAGUGUGUCAGAGGAUGGUGGAAUUCCCGGUGUAGCGGUGAAAUGCGUAGAGAUCGGGAGGAACAUCAGUGGCGAAGGCGGCCACCUGGGACAACACUGACGCUGAGGCACGAAAGCGUGGGGAGCAAACAGGAUUAGAGACCCCCGUAGUCCCUGUCUCUUAUAC